ACGUCACAAACAUGGAGUAGUGAGGGAGACACUCCUAUUCGAGGUGCUCUCCAAUUUUACCGCUUUUUAACGCCAAUUAUUCCCCUACAACGAAGUGAUACAUAUCCCCAGCGGUGUAGAAUGUCGUGAUACAACACCUGUGGCCCGGAUUGAGCAGCAAGAUGAGUGGGAGGAACAUAAUCACGCGGGAACUGAGUGAUUCCAUACGUCAGUGUUUGGGCCGAAAAGUGAAGCUGACACUGAAGGUCCUCGUGAAGGUUGAGACCAAGGGAGACAAGACAGAUAAUCGUGUUUUGGCUUUUGCGUCAUGCAGGCUCUUUGUGCUUACCGCCAAGGUCCCCACAAGGGUUGACCAGCAUUUCCACUACCUGGACAUCCAAGGUGUGGAGAGUCGGAAACCCAAUCAGCUGUGCCUGACCGUGUGCGACCGCGUGUACACCUACUACACCACGCACGAGGAGAACAGCAGCCAUGAGGUGGACACGAUGGUGCUCAGCCUCGGCACGGCGCUCAAGAACAUUUUCCCCGCCGUGCCGCUCACGCACAUCAUCCGCAAGGUGGACAUCCAGCCUCCGAAGCGGAUGCAGCAGCUGGAUGAGCUUGAGCGGGCAACCUUAGGGGGCACCAGGGACAUGGGGCCAUGUGGGGGCUUCUCCACACAGUACAUGUGCAUGUGUGACUACCACGCCCUGCCAUACAGAGAAGAGGUGGCGUGGGAUGUCGACACUAUCUACCUCUCUCACGACACGCGAGAGCUCUACCUGCAUGACUUCGACUAUCUAGAGCAGAAAGAUCUCAUACCUAUCAUCAGUGCUCUGGAGUACAAUACAUGGUUUCGAAAACUGCGGGCCAGUCACAGUAAACUCUCGCAUGAAGCUAUAGAAAGAAUUUUACAUGUUGUCAGCAAGUCUCUUAGCUUAGAAGAAAUCUACUUAGAUAACAUUGGUGCCAAAGCUGAAUUUGCAAACAAGUUGUCUCUAGCGCUUUUGUCCAAUAGCAACAUUCCUCUUCAGAAGCUUGACCUCUCUCACAACCCCAUUGAGGACAAAGGUGCUGUUCACAUCAGUAAUCCCAUCGGACGACAAGCCAAAGGACUUAGUCACCUGAAUCUCUCCCUUUGUGGACUUACUGGAAAGGGUGUCAACAUGUUAGCACAUUCCCUGUCAGUCAAUAAGUACAUGUGUCAGACUUUGACAUUCCUUAGCCUAGCUGGCAACUCCUUACGGGACGAUGUCAACAAUCUUUAUAAUUUCCUAGCUCAACCUAAUGCGCUGAAGACUCUUGAUCUGUCAGCAACAGAAUGUGCCAUCGAUGCUGUGUUUGGAGCAUUAUUACGAGGAUGCACCAGUAGUUUGGCCCAUCUGAACCUGUCACGGAACAGUUUCGGCAGCAAGAAGACCCGAGAGAUGCUGCCCUCCUUCAAACAAUACUUCACCUCAACCCUCGCUCUUAAAACCCUCACACUGUCCCAAUGUAAACUACCUGCUGAUGCCCUCAAGAAUGUACUUUUAGGGUUAGCGUGUAAUGAAAACAUCUCUGAGGUGGACUUAGAUUUAAGCAGUAAUCAAUUGGGUGGAACUGGAGCACAAAUUUUGGAGUCCUGUAUUCAUGGUGUUCGAUGUCUGUCAGCAUUAGAUAUCAGUGAUAAUGGUUUAGAAGCUCAACUUGGACCUGUAGUAGCCGCAAUUAGCAAAAACAAAAGCAUCAGGAAACUUAGUAUUGGCCGUAAUCUUAAUAAUAUUAAGAGCAAGCAUGUGUACCACGUUAUGGAGUCAGUGGUACAGAUGAUUCAGGAGGAAGAUUGUGUUCUUGAGUCCCUUUCCAUUAAUGACUCCCGGCUGAAGACAGAUUUGCACAACCUUCUAAAUGCGUUGGGGAGUAACCACUGCUUGCAGAGUCUAGAUAUCAGUGGAAAUUACAUGGGAGACAGUGGGGCACGACUCCUGGCCAAAGCUUUACAGAUUAACUCCAAACUCCAAUAUAUUAGUUAUGAUAGAAACAAUGUCACUUUACAAGGGUAUAGUGAUAUUGCAUAUGCAUUACAAAGCAACUACAGUGUCAAGUUUCUGCCAUUCCCCGUUCAUGAUGCCAUGUUGUGCAUGAAGACGGCCCCUGAACGGACAGAAAACCUCAUGCGCAGGAUACAGGACACGCUCUAUAGAAAUGUAUCACCCAUGAAGUAUUCCAAUGGACAGGCGUUCAGAUUACAACAGGGAUUCCUCUUAAGUUCAACUCAGCAGCAGGUAGACAGGCUGGUGCUACAGACGGGGGAGGCCGUAAGGACCUUGCGACGGUCUGGCAGCGACCUCGUUGGUGCAAACUCACUGCAGUGGGCUGAGGGACUCAUCACAGAUGCAGACAGCUCCAAGCAGCUGAUCAGCCACCUUCACGACGUGGUGCUGAGGAGGGAUGAGGCUGGCAACCCCAUAGAGACGAAGCUGCACCAGAUCUCGUCCGAUCUCCACACCGUCAUUACCAACUACCUCCAGGACACAGUUGAGAGCAUGGUUAGGUCUGCACAAGACAAGUGUCCCAACGUCUUGAGCGAGGAGAAGGUGGUGGAUGAUGUGAGGGCUGCCUGCCUGGCUAAGUCACAGCUAUCAUCCCAGUUGGUAGAGACUGCAAUAGUGGAGCAGGCUGGUUCAGUCAUCCUCAACAAGGUGAAUGAAGUCAACCUGGCCAUUGCAUCAACUGUGUCUGAUAGGGUGAUUGACGAAGUAGUCGACUCCCUGUCCAAAACGUGCAAGAACUUGCAAUCUGGUGAAGGGCCAAGGAAGAGGGCGUCAACAGGGACUGAAAUGGGGAGUCGUGAGCGAGGAAGCAGCGAGUCUUCGACACGCAGUGAACGCUCUGAUACAGUCAGCCAAGGGGACGACACCACCAGCCAAAAGUCUGACCCAUCACCACUGGCUACCCCGCAGCUUGCAUCAAAACGCAAGAGUCUCCAUGGAAGAAAGUUGAGGCCACAGAGUGUUGUAGCUGAGUCAUUAGACAGUGUGUCAGAGUUACCAAGCAGCUGUGGACAGCUGCAGCACUUGGGCAAGGCCAGACCUCGAAGAGUGAAGACCAGAGCCCCAACCAGACCCAUGGGCAGAGCUGAUCUAGUCGAGGAAGACCAUGACAUUUCUGAGGGCGUUGACACCUUCUUCAGGCCCGGGUCAUCAACUCCCACAACACCCCUCAUCUCCCCUGACUCGGAGAACAGCCCACGGCUACUCAAAUAUGGCUCCACCUCCUCCGUUGAGAGCUCCCCCCACACGGGCGGAGCAAGAACCGGCAGCGAGAGAGGCAGCAUUGAGUCACUCACGCGGUCUGACUCGCUGGCGCGGUCGGAGUCAGACGUGACGAGGGAGAGCCCGCGGCCACGCACCAAGUCUCGAGAUACGGAGGAGGAAGAUGAGAUGGAAGAUGAGGACCAAAGCCUAGAUGAGAAGAGCCGCAGUGUAACCAGCCUGAUAGGAAGACGAGCCAAUGAACCGAUGUUGAAGAGAUCACCAGAUAUGAGUGCAAGAAAAGCCUCAACAUCAUCAAACAUCAGUUCUAUGGAUGACAAAAGCCGCAGUGAGGAAGAUGGGAAGGAAGAUUCUCCCCCAAGGAAAGUAGCUGGCUUGCCCAAGUUCGGGAUGGGCAUCGGAGGAAACAUCUUGGCAGAGAUGAAGAUGAUGCAGGAGAAAAGAACUUCGGUCUUACCAAAGGAUGAAGACAAGGAUCGUGAUGAGAGAAAGGAAAACCCUUCAAGCAGCUUGCUCGCAGGUGUGAGGCUGCGGUCCACGGGCCUCGCAGACAGCCUAAAGUCUCCUACUAAUGGCUUCCCAAGAGGAUCCAGUGGCAGCAAAUCUCCAAAUUGUAAUAGGGAUUCUGUUAUUGAAAACGCAGGACCCAGCCCGAACACCAAGCCUGUGAUCGCCGCCCUCAAACCUAAGCCCCCUCCCCCUCUUGCACCUAAACCGCGACCCAAGUCUGUCAUUGGAGGAGACCAGAGAGCAGGUGAAUAUGAAUCCAGUGAUGCCACAGAAGAUGAGCAAACCAGUGCCCCAGUGAGGUCAGUGAGGGAGAUGGCGGCAUCCCUUGCCCGCAGUUCAGUUGGGGAGGAAGCUGGAGGCAAGAAAAAGUCCUCUUCUCUCCCCCGGAACACGCCCCAAGCUGCCAACAGUGGUGUGGCUCCUGAGCUGCUGGUAAUCCUCGACAAGAGACGCUCAACCAUCACAAACAACCAGCUUGAGACGCGUGGAAAGUCGGGCCGUGUGUGAACCACAAAACAAGUGGCAGGGUUGUGAAGGAAGUCCAAGGAGGAAAAGUAAUGCAGGGAGCUGGAGGAGACAUGGGUGGACGGUGAGCAGAGCACAGGAUCAAGCGCAGCCCCUCCCCUGCAUCGGCAGACGUCACACAAACAUGUCCUCACCACUGAUCUAGCACUUGAAGAUGUUGUUAAUGUUUGAUUGUCAGAAUUGUUAUUUUGAUGAAGGAUUUUUUUCCAUGUAACAUUGUUUCAUGAUAUUUUUCCCAUUCCAUCAUAGAUGGAACUAUAUUUGUUGCUGAGGCAUAAUAAUGGUAAUGUUCAUAUUGACAAGUGAUGAAGAAAUUUAAUGUUAUGUCAUUGUGUGACUGGCCAUACAGUUUCCUUUUCCAGUGAAGUAAGUGUAACUUGCUGUAUUUUCCUUUCAUGGAUAAACAGCUUUCUUCAUGAUUGUAAUUCAUAAGGCUAUGAAGGGAAUUUUAUUUAUUGAAUUUUACUUUGGUUUAUAUAGUUAUAUGUAGUCUGCUUGGAUAGCAAGACUGCAGAAUCUACACAGCCACAGAGACAUCUGAUGCCAUGAUGCGAUGUUGGUAGGAUUGUUAUGGUGGGACAGCAGACAUGUGAGAAAAUCAAAUGCAUUAACAUCACGCUUGCUCUUCUGCAAAGAUCAUGAUAGAGGCAUUAUGAUUGGACUUUUUGGAGAUUAAUAUACAGCUCAAACUGUUCAUACAUUUGCAUUUAAAGCCACAUUUUCUCAAGUCUUCUAACAGGCUUUCACUAUUAAGGAUACUCCUUAUAUGUCUGUAUAAAUGUCAAUAUAGAUAAUGUAUAGUCAAAGAUAUAGGUCACUGCCAGCAUUGGUUAUUCAAAAGGUCAUUCUUGAUGUACAUAAUAGCAGCACAAAAUUUCUUGUAGAUGAGGAAUUGCAUUUAUAAAUCAUUAUUUGUAUGUAGGUUUCCCAUCUUCCAAAGCACGGGACACGUUUCAUUCACAAUUUGUUGGUCAGUAUGUAGAUUAUAGCUACUUCAAUUUUUUAACCUUUGUGAUUUUUGCUAGAAUUGUGAGGCAAUUUUCAGAUAUACAUUGGAUGAAAAUAGUUAUAUAUAAGAAUAAAAGAAAUAAUAGAGAAAGGAGGUAUUACAGACUCAUGUAUUUUCUCUUUCUAAAAAUUCUCAAGAAAUUCACAUCAGAAAUUUUGACCUUUAAGUAGAGGAAUUUGAAGUCCUUAUAAAGAAUUUCUUGAGUCUUGACCUAAAGUUCUCUAAAGUGAGCAUCUGGACUGUAAUUAAUCUUUUAUUAAUGAGCUUUUAACCAUGUUAAGUUUUUAAUUUUAUGACAUUCGUUUUCCUUCCAAAUGCAAGUACUUGUUCGUGUAUUAUGACCAAAUUGCAUGUAAUGUAGUUUUUUUUUUUCUGUAAAUGGAUUUGCAAACUACUUUGGGAAAUUUUCCAUAUGAAGAAUUGCUAGGACAAAAAUGAACUUGUCAGUAGCUUUGUUGAAAGAUGCAUUUUUGUGCAUUGCAUUUUAUGUUUACAAGCAGUUUGUGAUGGUUAUUAUGAAUAAAGCAUCCUUCUCUAAAUGACAUGUUGAUAGCUAGGUCAGUAAUACAAUUUGAUUCAUAGUCAAGAUAGAUUAUUAGGUAUUGAUAUUUAAAUGUAAUUAAGUGUUUCCUUUUUUUUUUUCUUUUUUUACAAAGAGAAAGUAUUAAGUGCAAUCUGUUUUAUGUCUGCAGUUUAUAAAGGAUUUACUAUCAGUACGUGGCUUGCUGGUCACAUUGUUUGUAAUGCUUUGCCUCAAUCUACUGAACGUUGAAAGUGGACAGUGUACUGUGUGGAGCCUGUUCUUAACAGGCGUGAUAUAAAUAUUGUUACUAAAGUAAGAGUUGUAUGCUUGCUCUGUCAGAAAUGCAUUACAGCUUAUGUACAGCUUGUUUUGUUAAGAAAAAAAAAGAAAAAAAAAAAAGGGUCUGUCAGAAGAGCUUUGUGCCAAGAAAGGUUGCAAGAGAAAUUUAUACUCCUCAUUAAAGAGCUGCGGAUGUCUUUUUAUGUCUUGACGUGUUAUGAUUGUGAUUUUCUGCGCUGAUUUUGAGGGUUCCUGAUAAGUGGAUGAUGAUAAUGAUGAUGUGGUGUAUCUGUGAUGAAUUUUGCUUGUGGUGUGACUUUAUUUGGUAAUUUGAUUUUGACAGGCAGUUUUUGUUUGUUUGGGGGGCAAGAAAAAAAAAAAAAAAAAAAUGUUUUUGCAUUAGCUGUGGAAACUUUCCUUCCGUCUUCUCCUGGGCUUCAGAGAACAUACUGUGUGAGGACAACAACUGUGGAUUUUCAAGGUGGUUAUUUGAUAGAGAAAAGUUUAGGAGGAUAUUGAUAAAUAGAAACCAGUUUUUUUCAUAAAUCUUUGUGUUGUUUAUCUUUACAUAAUAAGGUGUGAAUGGGUUAUGUAUAUCUUUUUUUUUUUUCAUUGUCUUUUCUAAGUUAGUAAAAUCAUUUGUGAUCUCGCAUUUAUUGCAAAUUGAGUAAGUGGAGAAUUUUAAGGCUCUUUAACAAAUCUUUUGAUGAUUGAUUUUCUUAGUUUAACAGAUUUUGGCUUCAGUUCAAAAAUUUGAUAUUUAGAUGGAGCCCCUUUAUGCAGUUGAAUUUCUAGAGAAGAAAACCAUUAGAUAACAAGGAGUGGAGAGUUUUCAGGCUUUAAAUAAGGCAGUACAAAAAGGCCAGUGGCAAAUGUUUGUUUCACAGUGCUCACAGGAGACAAUACACUUUUGAAAAUCAAAAAAAUAAAAAUAAAAAACAUAAAAAAAUAUAUAUAGAUAAUUACAAAAAAAAAAAAAAAAAAAAAUUAAAUAAAAAAAUAUUAAAACUGACAUUUGUAUAGACUGUAGAUAAUAGUUGAUGAGAAGAAAAAUUCUAAGCUUUGGUACCUUCCUCAAAAACCACCCUUAGUAUUCCUUGCAGAGUCCACCGCACCUCAUGCCCCUCGGAGACCCUCAUAGCGUGCAGCUACUGUACCAUUGUUUGAUCCUUGAUGUUACUGUGUAUGUUUUUUCACACCUUCACCUGCAUCGAGUAGCAGCAGAUUUAUAUACAUUCAUCCUCACUUCAUAAUUCUAUAUAUAUAUGGUAAUGAUAAUUUGAUGAAGGUACAGUAUUCUUGCAGGUAUCUUUAUGAAUUACUUUACUGUACACUACACACUCAAGUGUAAUUUUCUUAAAUCUGUUAUUGGCUUUUAAAACGUUUACAUCAAACAGGACACAAGAACUGUAGUGAAGUUUUUUCACCCAUUUUGACAAUUAUUGUUUGAUGUUUAGGCAUAAAAUAAACAUUGUACAGUCUAAUACCAGUCUUACAAGUCUCUUGUUAGUCAUUAAUUGAUUUAUUUUCAUUUUCAAAUCCAGCAUAAUGUCAGAGAAAUUGUUGUAGUAACUUAAAUCUUCUUAAGUAUGGCUCAAAUGUUGUGAUUGUGAGGUGCAGAACAGGCAAGGGACGAAAGAAAAAUAUAGUCUGAACUAUACAUUUUAUAUGUAUAUUACUUAACUCCUGUUGAUUGACACACAAGUGUAAUCAUUUUGCUGCAUCACACUAUUGAAGCUUAAUUCAAAUCAAUACCUUUCGUUAUCCUCAUCUGCCUGCAUUGCGAGAGACCGUGUGCGUGCCAUGAUUAGCUAGCAAUCUGAUUGUGGUCAUUGUGAGUUGUGAUAGUAUCAAAGUGCUCCCAUGUGUCUUGUGAUUUUUUGUUUUUAUGUUCAUUUUUAAAAGAAAUUUUAGUUGCUUUCUAUGAUAUGACUGGAGAGCCUAUUAUAUGACCACAGGUUUUGUUGCAUUAAGCAAUGUUUUACCCUUGCAAUGUAAAUAAUUAAUUGUCAUAUUUUAUAUUUUACAAUUAUUCUACUGCCUUAAUAAAACUUAUUUCCUAUGAA
RNAcentral lists this unclassified non-coding RNA (8145 nucleotides) under Penaeus monodon (black tiger shrimp). Its description in RNAcentral is "f-actin-uncapping protein LRRC16A-like, transcript variant X17". The record is from RNAcentral. Lineage: Eukaryota; Metazoa; Arthropoda; Malacostraca; Decapoda; Penaeidae.